GACGAACGCUGGCGGCGUGCUUAACACAUGCAGGUCGAACGAUGAUCAGGAGCUUGCUCCUGUGAUUAGUGGCGAACGGGUGAGUAACACGUGAGUAACCUGCCCCUGACUCUGGGAUAAGCGUUGGAAACGACGUCUAAUACUGGAUACGACUGCCGGCCGCAUGGUCUGGUGGUGGAAAGAUUUUUGGGUUGGGGAUGGACUCGCGGCCUAUCAGCUUGUUGGUGAGGUAAUGGCUCACCAAGGCGACGACGGGUAGCCGGCCUGAGAGGGUGACCGGCAACACUGGGACUGAGACACGGCCCAGACUCCUACGGGAGGCAGCAGUGGGGAAUAUUGCACAAUGGGCGAAAGCCUGAUGCAGCAACGCCGCGUGAGGGAUGACGGCCUUCGGGUUGUAAACCUCUUUUAGUAGGGAAGAAGCGAAAGUGACGGUACCUGCAGAAAAAGCACCGGCUAACUACGUGCCAGCAGCCGCCGUAA
Molecule: ribosomal RNA, 483 nt
Filed under: uncultured bacterium
Lineage: Bacteria
Description: partial 16S ribosomal RNA
Rfam family: Bacterial small subunit ribosomal RNA
Source: RNAcentral